UGGGGAAUUUUGGACAAUGGGGGAAACCCUGAUCCAGCCAUCCCGCGUGUGCGAUGAAGGCCUUCGGGUUGUAAAGCACUUUUGGCAGGAAAGAAACGUCAUGGGUUAAUACCCCGUGAAACUGACGGUACCUGCAGAAUAAGCACCGGCUAACUACGUGCCAGCAGCCGCGGUAAUACGUAGGGUGCAAGCGUUAAUCGGAAUUACUGGGCGUAAAGCGUGCGCAGGCGGUUCGGAAAGAAAGAUGUGAAAUCCCAGAGCUCAACUUUGGAACUGCAUUUUUAACUACCGGGCUAGAGUGUGUCAGAGGGAGGUGGAAUUCCGCGUGUAGCAGUGAAAUGCGUAGAUAUGCGGAGGAACACCGAUGGCGAAGGCAGCCUAAUGGAAUAACACUGACGCUCAUGCACGAAAGCGUGGGGAGCAAACAGG
RNAcentral lists this ribosomal RNA (429 nucleotides) under Acidobacteriota bacterium. Its description in RNAcentral is "Acidobacteria bacterium partial 16S ribosomal RNA". It matches the Rfam family "Bacterial small subunit ribosomal RNA", at positions 355 to 776 of the family's 1533-position model. The record is from RNAcentral. Lineage: Bacteria; Pseudomonadati; Acidobacteriota.